AUUGAACGCUGGCGGCAGGCCUAACACAUGCAAGUCGAGCGGAUGAAGGGAGCUUGCUCCUGGAUUCAGCGGCGGACGGGUGAGUAAUGCCUAGGAAUCUGCCUGGUAGUGGGGGAUAACGUCCGGAAACGGGCGCUAAUACCGCAUACGUCCUGAGGGAGAAAGUGGGGGAUCUUCGGACCUCACGCUAUCAGAUGAGCCUAGGUCGGAUUAGCUAGUUGGUGGGGUAAAGGCCUACCAAGGCGACGAUCCGUAACUGGUCUGAGAGGAUGAUCAGUCACACUGGAACUGAGACACGGUCCAGACUCCUACGGGAGGCAGCAGUGGGGAAUAUUGGACAAUGGGCGAAAGCCUGACCCAGCCAUGCCGCGUGCGUGAAGAAGGUCUUCGGAUUGUAAAGCACUUUAAGUUGGGAGGAAGGGCAGUAAGUUAAUACCUUGCUGUUUUGACGUUACCAACAGAAUAAGCACCGGCUAACUUCGUG
This 484-nucleotide ribosomal RNA is filed under the name uncultured bacterium. Its description in RNAcentral is "partial 16S ribosomal RNA". It matches the Rfam family "Bacterial small subunit ribosomal RNA", at positions 30 to 507 of the family's 1533-position model. The record is from RNAcentral.